UCUGGGAAACUGCCUGAUGGAAGGGGGAUAACUACUUGCGCAAACGUGUAGCUAAUCCCUUCUUUAUCGCUCUCGAAGAACCAAAGUAGGGGGACCAUUCUGGCCCUCUUGCCAUCGGGAUGGGCGCAUGAUGGGAUUAGUUUAGUUACGGUGGGGUAAACCGCUCAUCAUGGGCUGACGAUCCCAUCACUUGGAGCGAGAAAGCAUGACCAGCCACUCAUGGAAUUGAGUACUCCUGUCCCUAUGCCUACGGGAUGGAGCAGCUU
Molecule: ribosomal RNA, 266 nt
Filed under: Klebsiella oxytoca
Lineage: Bacteria; Pseudomonadati; Pseudomonadota; Gammaproteobacteria; Enterobacterales; Enterobacteriaceae
Description: partial 16S ribosomal RNA
Source: RNAcentral